This 706-nucleotide long non-coding RNA is filed under the name Chinchilla lanigera (long-tailed chinchilla). RNAcentral describes it as "lncRNA (ENSCLAG00000026922.1)". The record is from RNAcentral. Lineage: Eukaryota; Metazoa; Chordata; Mammalia; Rodentia; Chinchillidae.
AUGUGCGCCGGAGAAAGGAAAACAUUAAACGGAACAUUUUUUUUACAUUGUGCUUUUUCUAUUUGUUGUCGAAAUCUCCAAGAGACGGUUGUGGAGAUGAUUCACCCGUGCUGGGGAACGUGCCCCGGCUUCUCCCUCCUGCGUUCAUCACAAGCCCCUGUCGUCAGCACUCAGCGGAUGUGCUCAGCCUUGUCCGGGCCGGGCUGGCCAGCGGAGGGGGCAGGAGGGGGCAUGAAGAGAGGCGGGCCCUCCCUUGGCACCCAAAGCACCUGGCCAGCUUUACCACGCAGGAGAACAGGGAAGCCGACCUUUCAGGCCAGCCAGGGAGCACGCUUAGUUCCUGGACGUGCAAAGCCGACGCUUCCGCACCCUGGCACGUGUCCUCUAUGUGGCUCUAAGGGGUGCAGCUAGGGAGCACCUCUCCUCCCGGAAACUUUCCUCUGUGCUCCCAGAUGCCUCCGACCCCUGGACCCUUCGCCCUUCUGAGCAGUCCGCAUCAUCCGGUCCGGGAACCAGGCUGAUGUUGCCCAUUGCCCAGGGACAGUUGCUAGGCAACUUGAGACAGCUGGAAGUUAUCAAAGCUCUGAGGUUAGAAGAUCCAACUUUGGGGCUAGAAUUGGGCAUGGCUACUACCAAGGCACUUUUUUUUUUAGUUCUCUGAACUUCAGUUUCCUCAUCUUCCAAAUGAGAAUAAACUUUUCCUCAC